CAUAUCAAUUAAGCGGAGGAAAAGAAACUAACAAGGAUUCCCCCAGUAACUGCGAGUGAAGAGGGAAUAGCUCAACGUGUGAAUCUGUCCGGGAGUAACCCCUGGUUCAGAGUUGUGCACUGUAGACGUCGGUUUCUGCGCUUGAAUUCCAGUUGUCAGUCCCAAGUCGGAUGAAACACCGCAUCACAGAAGGUCAUAGUCCUGUGUCUGACUGUGCUUGAAUUUGCGCCAAUGACCGCACGUUCGUCGAGUCGCGUAGUUUUGUAAUGCUGCGCCAAUUGGGAGGUGGAACCCUUCUAAAGCUAAAUAUGAUGACGUGACCGAUAGCAAACAAGUACCGCGAGGGAAAGGUGAAAAGCAACCAUGUAGAAUGCGUUGAAACAGCAGUGAAAGUGCUACUGGGAUAAGGGCUAUUGAGUGCUGGUCUCUUGGUAGCGUGCUUCAGUGCUGCUCCAGGAGCGGCCUGCAUCGAUUGGAGUUGGGAGACACGCUUGGGGUUGAAUUCGGCCAACGGCUUGCCGUUGGUGUUGUAGCUCCCCGAUGAGUUGAGCCCAGAACCGAUCGAAUGUGCCUCACGGCGUGCAGGUCCUGCGAUCAUUAGCCGCCCGUCUUGAAACACGGACCAAGGAGUGCACCUUACAUGCGAGUCAAAGGGACUGUAAUCCCCGAGGCGUAGCGAAAGCAAAGACCGUGAAUGUCCUUGUGGCAGGCGACGGCGCCCACCGAGAGGUGAGGUAGAGCAUGCAGGGUGCGACCCGAAAGAUGGUGAACUAUGCCCGGGCAAGGUGAAGCCAGUGGAAACGCUGGUGGAGGCCUGUAACGAUUCUGACGUGCAAAUCGAUCGUGCGACCUGGGU
RNAcentral lists this ribosomal RNA (856 nucleotides) under uncultured Cantharellales. RNAcentral's name for it is "LSU rRNA". It matches the Rfam family "Eukaryotic large subunit ribosomal RNA", at positions 39 to 916 of the family's 3401-position model. Lineage: Eukaryota; Fungi; Basidiomycota; Agaricomycetes; Cantharellales. The record is from RNAcentral.